This 838-nucleotide ribosomal RNA is filed under the name uncultured bacterium. RNAcentral's name for it is "bacterial SSU rRNA". It matches the Rfam family "Bacterial small subunit ribosomal RNA", at positions 8 to 858 of the family's 1533-position model. The record is from RNAcentral.
AGAGUUUGAUCAUGGCUCAGGACGAACGCUGGCGGUAUGCUUAACACAUGCAAGUCGAACGAGACAAAAGAGAAGUGCUUGCACGGAUCUUUUAGAAAGUGGCGAACGGGUGAGUAACGCGUGGGUAACCUACCCUAUGGAAAGGAAUAGCCUCGGGAAACUGGGAGUAAUGCCUUAUAAGAUAUAUUUGUCGCAUGGCAGAUGUAUUAAACGCUCCGGUGCCAUAGGAUGGACCCGCGUCCCAUUAGCUAGUUGGUGAGAUAACAGCUCACCAAGGCGACGAUGGGUAACCGGUCUGAGAGGGCGAACGGUCACACUGGAACUGAGACACGGUCCAGACUCCUACGGGAGGCAGCAGUGGGGAAUAUUGCGCAAUGGGGGAAACCCUGACGCAGCAAUACCGCGUGAGUGAAGAAGGUUUUCGGAUCGUAAAGCUCUGUUAUUGGGGAAGAAAAAAAGACGGUACCCAAGAAGAAAGUCCCGGCUAACUACGUGCCAGCAGCCGCGGUAAUACGUAGGGGACAAGCGUUGUCCGGAUUUACUGGGCGUAAAGGGCACGCAGGCGGUUUUUUAAGUCAGAUGUGAAAGGUACCGGCUCAACCGGUGACAUGCAUUUGAAACUGAAAGACUUGAGUAUUGGAGAGGCAAGUGGAAUUCCUAGUGUAGCGGUGAAAUGCGUAGAUAUUAUGAGGAACACCGGUGGCGAAUGCGGCUUGCUGGACAAAUACUGACGCUGAGGUGCGAAAGCGUGGGGAGCAAACAGAUUAGAUACCCUGGUAGUCCACGCCGUAAACGAUGAGUGCUAGGUGUUGGGGAGACUCAGUGCCGCAGCUAACGC